UAGAGAGACUGCCGGUGACAAACCGGAGGAAGGUGGGGAUGACGUCAAGUCCUCAUGGCCCUUAUGGGUAGGGCUUCACACGUCAUACAAUGGUGCAUACAGAGGGUUGCCAAGCCGCGAGGUGGAGCUAAUCCCAGAAAAUGCAUCGUAGUCCGGAUCGUAGUCUGCAACUCGACUACGUGAAGCUGGAAUCGCUAGUAAUCGCGGAUCAGCAUGCCGCGGUGAAU
Molecule: ribosomal RNA, 227 nt
Filed under: Ralstonia solanacearum
Lineage: Bacteria; Pseudomonadati; Pseudomonadota; Betaproteobacteria; Burkholderiales; Burkholderiaceae
Description: partial 16S ribosomal RNA
Rfam family: Bacterial small subunit ribosomal RNA
Source: RNAcentral